RNAcentral lists this ribosomal RNA (875 nucleotides) under Neoascochyta desmazieri. RNAcentral describes it as "LSU rRNA". It matches the Rfam family "Eukaryotic large subunit ribosomal RNA", at positions 75 to 967 of the family's 3401-position model. Lineage: Eukaryota; Fungi; Ascomycota; Dothideomycetes; Pleosporales; Didymellaceae. The record is from RNAcentral.
UUGCCCUAGUAACGGCGAGUGAAGCGGCAACAGCUCAAAUUUGAAAUCUGGCGUCUUUGGCGUCCGAGUUGUAAUUUGCAGAGGGCGCUUUGGCGUUGGCAGCGGUCCAAGUUCCUUGGAACAGGACGUCACAGAGGGUGAGAAUCCCGUACGUGGUCGCUGGCCUUCGCCGUGUAAAGCCCCUUCGACGAGUCGAGUUGUUUGGGAAUGCAGCUCUAAAUGGGAGGUAAAUUUCUUCUAAAGCUAAAUACUGGCCAGAGACCGAUAGCGCACAAGUAGAGUGAUCGAAAGAUGAAAAGCACUUUGGAAAGAGAGUCAAACAGCACGUGAAAUUGUUAAAAGGGAAGCGCUUGCAGCCAGACUUGCCUGUAGUUGCUCAUCCGGACUUUUGUCCGGUGCACUCUUCUAUAGGCAGGCCAGCAUCAGUUUGGGCGGUUGGAUAAAGGUCUCUGUCAUGUACCUCUCUUCGGGGAGAACUUAUAGGGGAGACGACAUGCAACCAGCCUGGACUGAGGUCCGCGCAUUUGCUAGGAUGCUGGCGUAAUGGCUGUAAGCGGCCCGUCUUGAAACACGGACCAAGGAGUCUAACAUCUAUGCGAGUGUUUGGGUGUCAAGCCCGAACGCGUAAUGAAAGUGAACGGAGGUGGGAACCUUUCGGGGUGCACCAUCGACCGAUCCUGAUGUCUUCGGAUGGAUUUGAGUAAGAGCAUAGCUGUUGGGACCCGAAAGAUGGUGAACUAUGCUUGAAUAGGGUGAAGCCAGAGGAAACUCUGGUGGAGGCUCGCAGCGGUUCUGACGUGCAAAUCGAUCGUCAAAUUUGGGCAUAGGGGCGAAAGACUAAUCGAACUAUCUAGUAGGUGCGUUCCUGCUGAAGU